RNAcentral lists this ribosomal RNA (488 nucleotides) under uncultured Glomeraceae. RNAcentral describes it as "SSU rRNA". It matches the Rfam family "Eukaryotic small subunit ribosomal RNA", at positions 609 to 1098 of the family's 1831-position model. Lineage: Eukaryota; Fungi; Glomeromycota; Glomeromycetes; Glomerales; Glomeraceae. The record is from RNAcentral.
GUUGUUGCAGUUAAAAAGCUCGUAGUUGAAUUUCGGGGUUAGUAGGUUGGUCAUGCCUCUGGUAUGUACUGGUCUCACUGAUUCCUCCUUCCUUAUGAACCGUAAUGCCAUUAAUUUGGUGUCACGGGGAAUUAGGACUGUUACCUUGAAAAAAUUAGAGUGUUUAAAGCAGGCUCACGCUUGAAUACAUUAGCAUGGAAUAAUGAAAUAGGACAUCCGAUUCUAUUUUGUUGGUUUCUAGGAUCGAUGUAAUGAUUAAUAGGGAUAGUUGGGGGCAUUAGUAUUCAAUUGUCAGAGGUGAAAUUCUUGGAUUUAUUGAAGACUAACUACUGCGAAAGCAUUUGCCAAGGAUGUUUUCAUUAAUCAAGAACGAAAGUUAGGGGAUCGAAGACGAUCAGAUACCGUCGUAGUCUUAACCAUAAACUAUGCCGACUAGGGAUCGGAUGAUGUUAAUUUUUUAAUGACUCAUUCGGCGCCUUACGGGAAAC